This 427-nucleotide unclassified non-coding RNA is filed under the name Hevea brasiliensis (rubber tree). The record is from RNAcentral. Lineage: Eukaryota; Viridiplantae; Streptophyta; Magnoliopsida; Malpighiales; Euphorbiaceae.
AUUGCCAUGCAGUACAGUUAGAUGUUAGAGUACUCUAUUCAUCUCAACCUCUUGACCAUUUAGAAAAAAAUGCUUGCCAUUUAUAUGACAUUUCUUUUAAAUAGGAAACCAUAAAUGGCUUUUGCUUAUUGAACUUUUCUUUCUUUUUUCUUUAAAUUUUAUUUUAUAAGUACUAUGAAAGGAAAGGUAUUUGACAUUCACACAUUUAUCUAUUCUUAUAAAUAGAACUGCUAUCUUUCUUGUGAUAGCUAUGCUUAUAUUUUAUUCUUAUGGAUUUAUAAUUUAAGCUCUAGCAGCAAAUAGUUCAAUGUCCUGUAAGCUUACAUAGAGUAUUUAAUAAAGUAAUGGUGGAGAAAAAUUCUUACUUAUUCUUACUUUAGGAUUGUGUUGUAUUUUUAAUUUCCUUAUUUGUUACAUAGUUAGGAAG